AAGGUUUGGAUCAUUCUCAUGUUAGGAAACAGACCGGAGAUUUGGGAAAAAUAUUUGAGAAGACUUGUAAGAACAUGAACAGAGGAUGAGAUAAAUCUGUGGAGAACAGCUUUGGUUGAUGUAGCUUAAUAUUCUUGGAU
This 140-nucleotide small RNA is filed under the name Arabidopsis thaliana (thale cress). Its description in RNAcentral is "ATSL194390". The record is from RNAcentral. Lineage: Eukaryota; Viridiplantae; Streptophyta; Magnoliopsida; Brassicales; Brassicaceae.